Molecule: ribosomal RNA, 386 nt
Filed under: Andinobates tolimensis
Lineage: Eukaryota; Metazoa; Chordata; Amphibia; Anura; Dendrobatidae
Description: partial 16S ribosomal RNA
Rfam family: Bacterial large subunit ribosomal RNA
Source: RNAcentral
UAGCGUAAUCACUUGUUCUUUAAUUGAGGACUAGUAUGAAUGGCCCCACGAGGACUACACUGUCUCCUUUCUCUAAUCAAUGAAACUGAUCUCCCCGUGAAGAAGCGGGGAUAAACCUAUAAGACGAGAAGACCCUAUGGAGCUUUAAACAACAGAAAUACUUGCUUCUUUCCUACCAUUUCCUGAAAACUAAAUUAAUUCAAGCAUUUUAUCUCCCAGUUUUAGGUUGGGGUGACCACGGAGAAAAAAUAAACCUCCAUGUUGAAAGAAGCCUUCCACCUUCUAAGCAAAAAGACACAACUUUAUGCAUCAACACAUUGACUCCCAUUGACCCAAUAAUUUGAUCAACGAACCAAGUUACCCUAGGGAUAACAGCGCAAUCUACU